GUGCUCACUUCAACAGCACAUAUACAUACUAAAAUUGGAACGAUACAGAGAACACUAGCACGUCCCCUGUGCAAGGAUGCCAUGCAAAUGUGUGACGCGUUCCAUAUUUUU
Small nuclear RNA from Rhinolophus ferrumequinum (greater horseshoe bat), 111 nucleotides. Lineage: Eukaryota; Metazoa; Chordata; Mammalia; Chiroptera; Rhinolophidae. The record is from Ensembl.